GCCCGCAGGGCUCAGUGGUAGAGCGGAUCACUAGUACAUCCAACUUCUUCCCAACGAAAGGAGUAUUGAAUACUUGGAAUAAUGAGGUCGUCAGUUCAAUUCUGGCUGUGGGCA
This is a non-coding RNA of Apodospora peruviana, 114 nucleotides long. The record is from the annotation of a GenBank genome assembly. Lineage: Eukaryota; Fungi; Ascomycota; Sordariomycetes; Sordariales; Lasiosphaeriaceae.